Molecule: ribosomal RNA, 424 nt
Filed under: uncultured Glomeromycotina
Lineage: Eukaryota; Fungi; Glomeromycota
Description: SSU rRNA
Rfam family: Eukaryotic small subunit ribosomal RNA
Source: RNAcentral
UGAGUAUGCACUGGCUUCGCUGAUUCCUCCUUUCUGAAGAACUGUAAUGCCAUUAAUUUGGUGUUGCAGGGAAACAGGACUGUUACUUUGAAAAAAUUAGAGUGUUUAAAGCAGGCUAAGGCUUGAAUACAUUAGCAUGGAAUAAUGAAAUAGGACGUUCGAUCCUAUUUUGUUGGUUUCUAGGAUUGACGUAAUGAUUAAUAGGGAUAGUUGGGGGCAUUAGUAUUCAAUUGUCAGAGGUGAAAUUCUUGGAUUUAUUGAAGACUAACUACUGCGAAAGCAUUUGCCAAGGAUGUUUUCAUUAAUCAAGAACGAAAGUUAGGGGAUCGAAGACGAUCAGAUACCGUCGUAGUCUUAACCAUAAACUAUGCCGACUAGGGAUCGGAUGAUGUUAAUUUUUUAAUGACUCACUCGGCGCCUUACG